UACGAAGGGGGCGAGCGUUGUUCGGAUUUACUGGGCGUAAAGGGCGCGUAGGCGGCCUUGUCAGUCAGGCGUGAAAGCCCCGGGCUCAACCUGGGAACGGCGCUUGGGACGGCGAGGCUGGAGUUCGGGAGAGGAGAGUGGAAUUCCCAGUGUAGAGGUGAAAUUCGUAGAUAUUGGGAAGAACACCGGUGGCGAAGGCGGCUCUCUGGACCGACACUGACGCUGAGGCGCGAAAGCCAGGGGAGCGAACGGG
RNAcentral lists this ribosomal RNA (253 nucleotides) under uncultured bacterium. RNAcentral's name for it is "partial 16S ribosomal RNA". It matches the Rfam family "Bacterial small subunit ribosomal RNA", at positions 524 to 776 of the family's 1533-position model. The record is from RNAcentral.